UCAAGUUGGAGCGGCGCAAGGGUGCGUAACACGUGGGUAAUCUGCCGUGAAGUUUGGGAUAACUUGCUGAAAGGCGAGCUAAUACCGGAUGUGGCUGAGGGGAGGCAUCUCUCUUUAGCUAAAGUUGGGGACCGCAAGGCCUGACGCUUCAUGAUGAACCCGCGGCCUAUCAGGUAGUUGGCGAGGUAACGGCUCACCAAGCCUAAGACGGGUAGCUGGUCUGAGAGGACGACCAGCCACACUGGAACUGAGACACGGUCCAGACACCUACGGGUGGCAGCAGUCGAGAAUUUUUCACAAUGGGGGAAACCCUGAUGGAGCGACGCCGCGUGUUGGAUGAAUGGCUUCGGUCCGUAAACCCCUGUCAUUCGCGAUCAAUGCGCAUUGUUUAAGAGAUGAUGCGUUGAUAGUAGCGGAAGAGGAAGGGACGGCUAACUCUGUGCCAGCAGCCGCGGUAAUACACAGGUCCCGAGCGUUGUUCGGAUUCACUGGGCGUAAAGGGUGCGUAGGUGGUGGCGUAAGUCGGAUGUGAAAUCUCGGAGCUCAACUCCGAAAUGGCAUUGGAAACUGCGCUGCUUGAGGGUUGGAGGGGGGACUGGAAUUCUCGGUGUAGCA
RNAcentral lists this ribosomal RNA (615 nucleotides) under uncultured Verrucomicrobiota bacterium. Its description in RNAcentral is "bacterial SSU rRNA". It matches the Rfam family "Bacterial small subunit ribosomal RNA", at positions 85 to 680 of the family's 1533-position model. Lineage: Bacteria; Pseudomonadati; Verrucomicrobiota. The record is from RNAcentral.